Molecule: long non-coding RNA, 641 nt
Organism: Esox lucius (northern pike)
Lineage: Eukaryota; Metazoa; Chordata; Actinopteri; Esociformes; Esocidae
Source: Ensembl
CGAGUAGGUGAGUAUGUAGCAGAGGUGGUGGACAAGUAGGUGAGUAUGUGUAAGAGGUGGUGGACAAGUAGGUGAGUAUGUGUAAGAGGUGGUGGAUGAGUAGGUGAGUAUGUAGCUGAGGUGGUGUACGAGGAGGUGAGUAUGUAGCAGAGGUGGUGGACGAGUAGGUGAGUAUGUGUAAGAGGUGGUGGAUGAGUAGGUGAGUAUGUAGCUGAGGUGGUGUACGAGGAGGUGAGUAUGUAGCAGAGGUGGUGGACGAGUAGGUGAGUAUGUGUAAGAGGUGGUGGAUGAGUAGGUGAGUAUGUAGCAGAGGUGGUGUACAAGGAGGUAUGUGUCAUAUGUAGUGGAUGAGGAGGAAGUGUAUGUGUAAGAGGUGGUGGAUGAGUAGGUGAGUAUGUGUAAGAGGUGGUGGACGAGGAGGUAUGUGUCAUAUGUAGUGGACGAGGAGGAAGUGUAUGUGUAAGAGAUGGUGGAUGAGCAGGAAGUGAUGCUGAGGCAGAAUUAAUCUCUCAUUGACUUUGAUUUUGCAGUUGCACAACAUUUUUUUGUUUAUUGUAAUGUGCUUUUCAUUUAGUUUUCCUUAAUCAAUGGGUUUUUGCAGUGGACUACUGUAUUUUUUGCCACUGCUGAAUAUACAGACA